This 692-nucleotide ribosomal RNA is filed under the name uncultured bacterium. Its description in RNAcentral is "bacterial SSU rRNA". It matches the Rfam family "Bacterial small subunit ribosomal RNA", at positions 32 to 715 of the family's 1533-position model. The record is from RNAcentral.
AACGCUAGCUACAGGCUUAACACAUGCAAGUCGAGGUGCAGCAUAAAAGUAGCAAUACUUUGGUGGCGACCGGCGCACGGGUGAGUAACGCGUAUGCAACCUACCUAUCAGAGGGGGAUAACCCGGCGAAAGUCGGGCUAAUACCGCAUAAAACAGGGGCACCGCAUGGUGAUAUUUGUUAAAAAUUUAUUGCUGAUAGAUGGGCAUGCGUUCCAUUAGGUAGUUGGAGAGGUAACGGCUCACCAAGCCUACGAUGGAUAGGGGAACUGAGAGGUUGGUCCCCCACACUGGUACUGAGACACGGACCAGACUCCUACGGGAGGCAGCAGUGAGGAAUAUUGGUCAAUGGGCGAGAGCCUGAACCAGCCAAGUCGCGUGAAGGAAGAAGGAUCUAUGGUUCGUAAACUUCUUUUGCAGGGGAAUAAAGUGCAGGACGUGUCCUGUUUUGUAUGUACCCUGAGAAUAAGGAUCGGCUAACUCCGUGCCAGCAGCCGCGGUAAUACGGAGGAUCCGAGCGUUAUCCGGAUUUAUUGGGUUUAAAGGGUGCGUAGGUGGUUUAAUAAGUCAGCGGUGAAAGUUUGCAGCUUAACUGUAAAAAUGCCGUUGAAACUGUUAGACUUGAGUGUAAAUGAGGUAGGCGGAAUGCGUGGUGUAGCGGUGAAAUGCUUAGAUAUCACGAAGAACUCCGAUUG